RNAcentral lists this long non-coding RNA (1309 nucleotides) under Homo sapiens (human). RNAcentral's name for it is "non-protein coding lnc-GCFC2-2:1". Lineage: Eukaryota; Metazoa; Chordata; Mammalia; Primates; Hominidae. The record is from RNAcentral.
GUGGCCUUCAUGUUCUAUAGCUGACAAUUAGCUGCCACUUUUCACAGCCAUCAGUCCCAGACCAGACCAUAGUACAGUCUACUGCCCAGGUUCUGGGAAUUUCUGAGCUGUUUAAUAACCAAUAACUCCAAGUACAGCAGUAACAGCAAAAGAAUCUCUCACUACAUGAAUAUAUGAAUAUGAAAUUGUUGCAAGAAGCUGGUGUCUCCCUUCCAAAGGAUAUGUGGCAAAGUCACCAGAUGAAGCUGACGCAAUUGUCAAAAAAUUAGGUUCUAAAGAUGUUGUGAUAAUGGCACAGAAUUUUGCUUGUGGUAGACAAAAAGGAACAUUUGGAAGCAGUCCCAAAAGAGGAGUGAAGAUAGUUUUCUAUCAAGAAGAAAAAGCUGUUCCCUCUCAAAUUAUUGGGAAAAAGUUGUUUACCAAGUAAACAGGAGAAAAGGACAAAAUAUGCAAUCAAGUAUUGAUCUGUGAGCAAAAAUAUCCCAGGAGAGAAUACUACUUUCCAGUAACAAUGGAAAGGUCAUUUCAAGGUCCAGUAUAAAUAGGAAGUUUGCAAGGUGGUGUCAACACUGAAGAUGUUUCUGCUGAGACUCCUGAUGUAAUAAAGAAUCUAUUGAUGUCGUAGAAGGCAUCAAAAAGGAACAAGCUCUCCGGCUUGCACAGAAUAUAAGAUUUCCAUCUACUAUUGUGGAUUCUGUGGCAGAAAACAUGGUCAAGCUUUACAAUCUUUUUCUGAACUACAACACAACCAUGAUAAAAAUAAGCUCAAUGGUAUAAGAUUCAGAUGGAGCUCUGCUAUGUUUGGACACAAAGAUCAAUUUUGAUUCUAAUUCAGUCUAUCGCCAGAAGAUCUUUGAUCUACAGGACUGGACUCAGGAAGAUGAAAGGAACAAAGAUGAAGCUAAGCCACAUCUCAAUAACACUGGCCUCAGUGGAAAAAUAGGCUGUCUAGUAAAUGGUGCUGGUUUGGCUAUAACCACAAUAGGUAUAAGAAAACUUCAUAAAGAGACUCCAAACAGAUUCCUUGUUGCUCAUGUUAGUGCUACAGUCCAUCAAGUAACAGAAUCACUUAUGCUUAUCACUUCAGAUAAAAAGAGGUACUGGCUAUUCUGGUCAACAUUUUUGGAGGAAUCACUUGAUGUUAUGUUAUUACACAGGGUAUAGUUCUGGCUGUGAAAGAUUUUGAAAUUAAAAUAUCUGUUGUGGUACAUUUACAAGGUUCACUAGUUAAUGAUGCUAAGGCACUACUAGCAGAAAAGCUACUAGAAUGGCUUCAAAGCUCUCUGAAAUAGUGACCUUAGUCAAGCAA